GACGAACGCUGGCGGCGUGCUUAACACAUGCAAGUCGAACGGAAAGGCCCUGCUUUUGUGGGGUGCUCGAGUGGCGAACGGGUGAGUAACACGUGAGUAACCUGCCCUUGACUUUGGGAUAACUUCAGGAAACUGGGGCUAAUACCGGAUAGGAGCUCCUGCUGCAUGGUGGGGGUUGGAAAGUUUCGGCGGAUGGGGAUGGACUCGCGGCUUAUCAGCUUGUUGGUGGGGUAGUGGCUUACCAAGGCUUUGGCGGGUUCCCGGCCUGAGAGGGUGACCGGACACAUUGGGACUGAGACACGGUCCAGACUCCUACGGGAGGCAGCAGUGGGGAAUAUUGCACAAUGGGCGGAAGCCUGAUGCAGCAACGCCGCGUGCGGGAUGACGGCCUUCGGGUUGUAAACCGCUUUCGCCUGUGACGAAGCGUGAGUGACGGUAAUGGGUAAAGAAGCACCGGCUAACUACGUG
This 468-nucleotide ribosomal RNA is filed under the name uncultured bacterium. Its description in RNAcentral is "partial 16S ribosomal RNA". It matches the Rfam family "Bacterial small subunit ribosomal RNA", at positions 28 to 507 of the family's 1533-position model. The record is from RNAcentral.